Non-coding RNA from Pelobates cultripes (western spadefoot toad), 281 nucleotides. NCBI's taxonomy places the organism in Eukaryota, Metazoa, Chordata, Amphibia, Anura, Pelobatidae. The record is from the annotation of a GenBank genome assembly.
UCCUAUUAACCUUGUAAUGUAAAACACUGCAGUUUUUUUUUUUUUUUUUUAAAUUUGAGGGUUAAGUUGAUUCAAUGGUUUUUCUAUGGGGACAUUUGAAUGUGCUGUCCUCUAUUAUGAGCAUUGGACUAGACAUCGGCAGAUGAGGCAUUCUGUCAUGGGAAGCGGAGAGGUAUGCAGUGCUGAGGGAGCCUCGACGCUGGAAAAACAUAAGUAAAACUGUACGUUUUUCAAAUCUUUACUGCAAAAGGGGAGAUAUAUUUCUGACUAGGGACAGGGAC